UAUUAAUAAAUAAAUACUCAAAAUUAUUAUUUUCUUAAAUAUGAGACCUUAGCCGACCACUUAAUUUGGCUAGUUCUAAAGCCACCCCCAACGAUAGUCAUGAUCAAUGUCCAUAGCUAGAGAAAUUCUAGAAUACAUCAGAGGUACCAUGUCAGCCAUACAACAAGCAAAUGAUGUUAUGUUAUGUAAUUUUGAAAAACUAUCAUGCAAGUGGUGGUUAUAUUAAAUUUAAUUAUAAAUGUCAUGCAUGCAUUAAUUAGUUGUAAUACAUCAGAGGUAUUUUAGAAUUUCUCCUAUAGCUGAGCUUGAACAAAUCAUGCCAGCACAAUUAACUGUAGAUCUAGAGACAAUUAAUGCUUAUUGCUUAAGCCAUGCACUGUUCGUGAAAUACAAGUAAGCAACCCAAGAGGGGGGGUGAAUUGGGAUUCUAAAAAAAUUAUUCAAUAAUAAAGAAAAUCUUAAUGCAAUUAUAACUCAAAUUCAAAGCAAUAAUAAUUAAGAUGAUCACAAUAUAAAAAGGUAAGGGAAGAGAGAUUCAAACACGAGAUUUUUACGUGGUUCGGCCAACCUCGCCUACGUCCACGCCUCCAAGCUUUCCGGGCUUGAGGAUUCCACUAAGCAAGCCUCCAAGGCUUCAAAUGCUUACACUUGACUUCCGAGGUGUCAAUGGACCUUUACAACAAGAGAUUAUCCCCAAUCUCUUAACCCAAGUGUAUCCCAACACUUACAAUCACUCAAAGUAAAAGAUUACAAAUUUGUUUUGCCUCUCACAAUAUACAAGAUAACUCAAUGAUGCUUAAUAUGUGAAUAGAUGAAGCAAGAAUGUGUUCUAAGCUCUAUGAAGAUUGUAUUCUCGAAUAUUAGCUCAAAUGGUUGUGUUGUGAUCAACCUUCUUUGAAUUUGAAUGAGCCUAUUUAUAUCUGGAGCUGAAAAUCUAGCCGUUACAAACUGUCGGGCAGAAAACGGUUCGCCGUUAACGAUAAACGGUUAACCGUUUCGCUUGUUCAAAGUUACCGUUGGACCAGAAUUCAAAUAAACGGUUUGCCGUUUAGGAUUGCCCUUUCGCCGUUAACUUCCAGAGACCUGCAAGAUCAGCAUUCGUUAUACGUUUACGCUAAACGGUUAAGGACUUGCGUGAGGUAACGUUUCUGGAUAUUAUCGGUUAACCGUUUGAACAAUAAUCGGUUAGCCGUUUGUCUCCAGUAACCUGCAAAAUGAACAUCAGUUAAUCAAUACCAGAGGCGGACAACCCUCAAUUCUGGACGUUAUCGGUUAACCGUUUAAAAAGAAACGGUUCACCGUUAGUUUCCAGUAGCCUUCCUAUCUUGGGUGUUUUCUGUUAAGCGUAAACGGCUAGAGCUUAGGCAAUAUGAUGCUCUCUGGUGAUAAUCGGUUAACCGUUUAAAAAUAAACGGUUCACCGUUAGUUUCCAGUAACCUUCCCAUCUUGGGUGUUUUCCGUUUUCCAUGAACGGUUAGAGGUUAAGGAAAUGUGUUACUCUCUGCCUUUAAUCGGUUAACCGUUUAAAAUAAACGGUUCACCGUUUAUGACCAGUAUUGCAAUUUUAAACAAGUUUUUGCAGAGAAUUUCUUUCUAAUUUGAAAUCCAUCUUUUAUGAAGAAAUAAGGCAAUGAUUAAAAGAGUUUUCGUUUAUUAAGAAAUAACUCCAUUAUUUUUGUCAAAAUACAUUUAAAAUUUGUUAUCAUCAAAAUCAAUAUUAUUAACAUAUUUAUGUUAACAGUUCGACUUGCCUUAUUUCUACAAUCAAGUCCCUAGUGAUGUAAUAGCUACGUCGUGCUACACUGCGUAAAUUAGUGGACAACAAGUACAUGACAGUUAAUUUCCAUUUGAGCCUGCGGCUGAAGCGGAUAAUAUGGGGCCAUUUGAUCAAUUUGUUAUAGAGAAAAUGAUGGGUUUAGGGAGUUAUUUUACAAGAUUUGGACCUAGUACUAAGUUGAUCUUGUGCUCAAUUCUUCAUAAUUUUCUGUUAGAUGUACAUGUAUAGUAAUAUACGGUUAAGAUUUAAUGAAUUUUAUAUUCUUAUCUAAAAACUACCAAUUGUAUUCUUCUAAAAGUUAAUAAAAAAUUUAACUUAACACCGAAUCUAAAUCCUAUUUUACAUAUUUAAAGUUAGGGUUGGCGUAUCAUACCGCUUAGGAUAAGGGUGUUGAGCUUUUUACUUAAACUAUGAUAGAGAAUUUUAAAUGUGCUUGAAAUGAAGAUGCACAGAGCCAAAAGAUCAUUUGGUUUCCGAUUUACUUGAGGAAUAGUAAAGUUGGUGAUUAGUGUUAAAAAUUGUAUGUUUAUUAUGGGGUAAACAUUUUAUUUUGUGCUUAUAAUAUAAUUUGCAUUUGUAAUUAUGUAAUAUAUUAUGAAUUAUGAAUUCUUUUUCUAAAUAUUUGAUUUUAUGUGUUUAUUAGGUAAAAACAAUAAUUUCACGCAAUUUGAGGGCCCAAACAAAUGUACGAAUGUCAAAUUUGGAUUCCAGAAGUCCGAGAAAUUAGGUCUUUGUCAAGGAGGAUCUGCGACUUUUAUUGUAAAUUUAUUAGUUUUUACCACGAUAUGGUAAUUGUGAAAUUAUAAGUUUUUAAUAUGUUAGGUGUUGUAAUUGUUAGUGGAAUGUGUUGGAUGUGAUUGGGUGUAUUAAGUUAGGUUUAUAUUUUGUUAGUGGGACAAAUGUAUGGCUAAGAUGUAAUUAGCUUUAUUUAUUUGUGUGGUGUGAAUUAAUCAUGUAUUAGUAUAAAUAGAGCAGGGUAACACACCUCUCCACAAUUUUUCUUCUCUUCUUUCCCCUCAAUUUCUUCUUCUCAUCUCUCUUUGUAAUAUAUUUUUAAUAAAUAAAAUUAGUUUUACUUUUAAUUUUCAAAUACAAUUUUUUUAAUUAUGUAUUUUUCAAAGAGCCAAGAAUCACACAAGAACUUAAGUGGUUCAGCACCUUGAGGGUGCCUACAUCCACUGGAGAAAACCAACACAGGGAGCAACUUUAUUGAGCUUCAAGGUUACAGAGAAAAUAAUGCACAAUAAAGAGACCACUCACAAAGCUUUGUUCUCACUAUAACUGCCUUAUCUCUCUCUCCUUGAAUCAAUCGAGACUACACCAGAACUAGCUUGAAUAUAUAUAUCAGUUUGCCAGGCGUAACAGAUUCAGAAUUUUCCCUCCAAAUCCAACAGCCUUAACCUCCUGUCACGAGCAACUCACGCGUCACUUAAAAGCUUUCCUUAAAUGACUGCUAGCAAUGCCGUUUAAGCUUAAACCAGGCGUGCAUUAGUCACGUGAGUUUUAAUGAUCUUGGAUGACAUUGUAAAAUUGUCAGCUCUGGAAUCUUGUUCAACUGAAAUGACAUGUCACUCGUAUUCACAACUUAAAAUCGACAAGUUGUACUAACGAGUUUGAGUUCAUUUCAACAAUCUCUACCUUGAACUCAACACUCCUAGCUCCCUCAUUUCAAGCUGUCUUCUCCUCAUCUGCAGCUUCUUAAAACCUGCAGAUACUUGCUAAGUUCAUGCAAAGGAUGAACUUGGCAGUUGGCACAACCUUGCUUAACAUGUCAGUUGGAUUUUCUUCAGUAUGAAUCUUCAGCAACUUUACAGCUCCCCUUGACACCUCAAGCCUCACGAAAUGCAAUUUAACAUCUAUAUGUUUUGUUUUCACAUGAUGGGAUUGAUUCUUGCUAAGAUGUAUAGCACUCUGACUGUCACUGUAUAUUGUUACAGACUCUUGUUUGGCUCCCAACUCAGUUAUCAUGCCUUUCAGCCAAAUUGCUUCUUUGAGAGCUUCUGCUGCUGCAGUAUACUCAGCCUCUGUUGUGGACAAAGCCACUACAUUCUGUAAUGUUGCUUUCUAGCUGACUGUGCAGCCUUCCAGAGUAAACAAAUACCUUGUUUGAGACCUCAUUUUAUUAAGAUCACAGGCAAAAUCAGCAUCCAUAUAACCAAUCAAUGUGUGUCCAUUUUUGUCUUCUCCACCAUAGACCAACCAACCUCCAGAGUCUCCUUCAGAUACCUCAUAAUCCAUUGAACAACUGUCCAGUGUUCAUAUCUGGGGUUUGCCAUAAACCUGCUCACCAAACUCACAACAUGUGAGAUAUCAGGUCUGGUGAGUACCAUGGCAUACAUGAGGCUACCUACUGUACUGGAGUAGGGUAUGCAAACCAUAGCUACACCUGUUGAAGACAUGUGUUAUCAUGAAGUUAUCAAACUUCAGAUACCAUUGCCUAGGUGAUUGCUUUAACCCAUACAGAGACUUUUUAAUUAAGCAAACACAAUCUUCUUUACCAGAUGUUAUAUACCCUUCAGGCUGCUGCAUUACAAUUUCCUCUUGUAAUUCACCAUGCAGGAAGGCUAUUUUUACAUCCAUAUGCUCAAGAUGCAUAUCUUGAACAACCACAAGUGCAAGAAUAAUUCUGAUGGAAGCAGGUCUCACUACAGGAGAAAAUACUUCAGUGAAGUCAAUUCCCUCCUUUUGUGUGAAGCCCCUUGCCACUAGUCUAGCCUUAAAUCUUCUAGGUUCAGCUCCAGGUAUACCAUCUUUAAUCUUGAAGAUCCAUUUACAGCUUACUGUUUUCCUCUUAGCUGGUUUUCAAUCAAUUCCCAAGUCUUGUUUUUCAUUAGGGAUGUCAUCUCUUCAUCCAUUGCCCUAUUCCAUUCCAGCUUGUUUUUGCCUGUGAUAGCUUCCUGAUAAGUCAUUGGUUCAUCAUCAUUCAGCUCUUGAGCAGAAGUCAAAGCAUAUGCAAUCAGAUCAGCCACUGCAUAUCUUUUAGGUGGUCUUAUUGUCCUUCUCUUUUUGUCUCUUGNNNNNNNNNNNNNNNNNNNNNNNNNNNNNNNNNNNNNNNNNNNNNNNNNNNNNNNNNNNNNNNNNNNNNNNNNNNNNNNNNNNNCUCAAGUUCUUUCAAGUUUUGAGGCUCCACCUGAAACUUCACUUUAUCAGUCUCAAUACUUGAUUCAGUAUUGUUAACAGGGCUCCUUGGUUUAUUCAAUAACUCUUCUUUAUGGAAUCUUACAUUCCUGCUUAUGAUGCACUAUGGUGGUUUUGAGUCAACACACCACAAUCUAUAGCCUUGACACCCUCUGGAUACCCCAGAAACCUGCAUUUUAAUGCUCUUAGUUCCAGCUUACCCUGCUUCACAUGAGCAUAUGCUGUGCAGUAAAAAAUUCUGAGUUUUGCAUAGUCAGCCAUUCUACCUGACCAAAGUUCCAUUGGUGUUUUACAAUCUAUAGCAGUUGAUGGGCUCCUGUUGACUAGGUAGCAUGCUGUGUUUAAAGCUUCUACCCAAAGGGUUUUUGGGAGCUUAGAAUAGAUUAGCAUGCACCUUACCUUCUCCACCAAAGUCUUGUUCAUUCUCUCAGCAAUGCCAUUUUGUUGAGGGGUAUAGGUGACAGUUUUGUGCCUUUGAAUACCAUUCUUUUCACAGAAUUCUUCAAACAACUUAUUGCAGUACUCCAAGCCAUUAUCUGUCCUCAGAGUUUACACCUUCAAACCAGUCUGGUUUUCAAUAAAAAUCUUUCAGUUUUUGAAUUUUUCCAGAACCUCAUAUUUACUUUUGAGUGCAAAGACCCAAACCAUCCUUGAAAAAUCAUCUAUAAAAGUCAGAAAAUAUCUACACCCACCUAGUGAAUUCACUUGUGCAGACCCCCACAAAUCAGAGUGUAUGUAUCCUAGUUUCUCUUUGGUGGUGUGAGCUGCAGUCUCAAACCUUAACUUGGAAGACUUUCCUAGAAUACAAUCUUCACAGAACCCCGAAGCUUCUAUCUGAUCAUUCCCAAACACUCAUUGUUUUUGUAACUCUCUCAAACCUCUCUCACUCAUAUGCCCUAUCCUCAAAUGCCACAACAUUGAUCUGUUCCCUCCACUGUCAGUUACACUUGCCUCCCUAACAGCAGUAUGUCCAUCCAUCACAUACAUGCCAUUUUGUUUUAAACCUUUCAUUAUCACCAUUGAGCCUUUAAUCACCCUCAAUUCAGCCUUAAUAACACAACCUGUUUGAUCUAGUAUGCCAAUUGAAAUUAAGUUAAUUUUUAGUUUAGGAACAAACCUCGCUUGUGUCAAUUCCCUUACCACACCAUCAAACAUUCUAAGGCUAACAGUCCCAAUACCAACCACCUUACACAUUGAGUUAUUACCCAUUUAAACUAUACCCCCAUCACAUGGCUGAUAUGUAGUAAAAUAGCUUCUAUUUGGACACAUAUGAAAGGUACAACCUGAGUCAAGAACCCACUAACCUUGAGGUUUCUGACUUGUGGCAAUGAGUACUCCAGCUGUUUCAAAGCUACAUUAUUUUUCUGUGGCUAUGGCUGCAUUUCCAGUUCUUUCAUUGGUUUCUUUAUUCUUGUUCUUCCUUUUAGGGCAAUCUCUUUUAAAAUACCCUUCUUUAUGACAGUGGAAACACUUCAAAUUUCUCUAUUUAGACUUUGAUCUGCCUUUUUUCUUUCCCUUGCUUUCUCUUUUCUUAGGUCUGCCUCUAGCCAUCAGUCCCUCACUUGAUUCACUUUCUGGAUUAUCUUACUUAUCUUUCAGCUUCUUGGUGCCAAGAGCAGAUUUGACCUCUUCCAGGGAGAGUGUUUGCCUCCCAUACAAUAAUGUAUCCACAAAGUGGUUGUAUGACUUUGGUAAAGAGCUGAUUAGUAGCAAAGCUUUGCUCUCAUCACUCAGUCCUUCAUUAAUAAUCUCCAGUUCAUCACAAACCUUAUUGAACUCAUCUAUAUGCUCAUUUAAUGAUGCCUCUUCAAUCAUCUUCAGUGAGAACAUCUUCCUUUUUAUGUAAAGUCUAUUUGCCAAAGACUUUGUCAUAUAUAGAUUCUCCAACUUAGCCCAUAAACCAGCAACAAUUCUUUCUUUAGCCACUUCUCGAAUUACAGAGUCACCAAGACUCAGAAUGAUUGUGCUUCUGCCUUUCUUGUCAAUCUCUGCUACUUAUUCUAGGGUCUUAGAUGAUGAAGCCUCCCCUUCUUCAAGCUUAGAGACUAGAUCUAUGGCUUCUCCCAGCCCUUGAGUAAUCAACAAAGCCUCCAUCUUGAUCUUCCACAUAUUGAAAUCAUUCUGCCCCGUAAACUUCUCAAGAUCCACUUUUGAACUCAUUCUUAAACCUUGAAAUCAGAGUUAAGGCUCUGAUACCAAUUGUUGUGAAAUUAAUCCUUUGAUUGCUAGAUUAAUCACACCCCAAGACCCAACUCAGACUCAAAGACUCAAGAAUCAAAACCUAAGCUAAACAAGAACAACGAUCACAUCAAAGAACAACACCAAAGAACCAAGAAUCACACAAGAACUUAAGUGGUUCAGCACCUUGAGGGUGCCUACAUCCACUGGAGAAAACCAACACAGGGAGCAACUUUAUUGAGCUUCAAGGUUACAGAGAAAAUAAUGCACAAUAAAGAGACCACUCACAAAGCUUUGCUCUCACUAUAACUGCCUUAUCUCUCUCUCCUUGAAUCAAUCGAGACUACACCAGAACUAGCUUGAAUAUAUAUAUUAGUUUGCCAGGCGUAACAGAUUCAGAAUUUUCCCUCCAAAUCCAACAGCCUUAACCUCCUGUCACGAGCAACUCACGCGUCACUUAAAAGCUUUCCUUAAACGACUGCUAGCAAUGCCGUUUAAGCUUAAACCAGGCGUGCAUUAGUCACGUGAGUUUUAAUGAUCUUGGAUGACAUUGUAAAAUUGUCAGCUCUGGAAUCUCGUUCAACUGAAAUGACAUGUCACUCGUAUUCACAACUUAAAAUCGACAAGUUGUACUAACGAGUUUGAGUUCAUUUCAAUAAUCUUCUAAGGUUAAUGUUAUUUUUCUAUACAACAUUGUAUUUACAAAACCUUAAUAGGAUUAUGGCAGUAAACUGAGCAAGAAAAAUGCUUUAUCUUGAUAUCUAAUUUUCACAUUUUCGACCCCUUCAAGAUGAAUGUUGAUCUUGUUGAAAGUAUCAAUGUGUUAUUGGAUAGACACAUCUUCUUUCAUUGAAAAAUAUAAAGUUGUUUCUUUAAGAAAAGCCUGUAAACCAAGGACUUCUUCAUGCACAGUGCCUCUACCUUAUUCCAUAUCCUUAGAGCGAUCUUUUCUUCAAAGACUUCUCGUAAGAUUAAGUCACUAAGACUUAAAAUCAAGGUAAUAUGGGCUCUGUUCUAGAUCUGCUUUUUUUUUUUUUGAUCAGGCAUGGAACUUGUAGCUCUAUUAGGAUCUUCUUUUCCUAGAGCAAAUUCAUGGCCCUGAUAAAUGCGCAGAGCCCUUUUCUCCAUCUUCCAGAGUGAGAAAUCACCACUAAUGGUUAAUUUCUCGAUUUCUGGCUGUAGAAGUGAUAUACCCAAGAAUUACCAAAGGUCUGAUACCACUUGUUGUAAUUUGUAGUGGCUAAUAACAAGAACUGAUUUAGUACUUCAAUCUUUAAUCAAUCAAGAUUGAUUUGAAAUCAAGAUUGCUAAUGAAUAGAGUCAAGAACGGAAAAAAAAAUUGGAUUGCAAAGAACAAACUACUAGAUGAGAAGAAAACAUUCACACUGUUUUAUUAAUCAAAACUGAGUACAAAAAAAUUACAUCUAAAGAAGAGAUUACAACAAUCAAUGUAAAGAAGAAUCAUUCUAAUCGGACAAGAAAUGAAUAAUAUAUAAGAUUACUUCUUAUUAGCUUGCCGCUACUUUUCUAUUCAAUCCACACACUAGCCCAGAAUCCCCCAACUUGCUCAAAAGACGUAAUUUAUUGCCUCAAGUCUUUUUGGCCACCCAAUUUGAGAAAUUGUUUCUUCUUUUUAUGAUGCUUCCUAUCCAAAAGGAGCCUGUCAUUAGGAACUUGUAUUUGUUUAAUUUAGAACAUCUCAAGACCAUUACAAUAGAAAGAUAGAAAAAGAAAAGUUGAAACUGACAACAUUGAUUAAAAUUCCUACUUGUUAUUCUUAGUAAUAACCACAUCUAGAUCUUGAAUUUGUAGGAGUCAACAUGAUGAAGCCUAUAUUUUGCAUCAUUAAAUGAUUAAUCUUAUUGUUAUCUCUUCUUUCACUAUUGUCUUAUCAAAAACAAUUUCUUACCAUACUAACUGCAUAAAAAUUAACAAACUAACAUAUUAUCAUUUUUAAGUCAUCAAUCAAGUAUAAAUAUUAUAUUAUUUAGUUAUAUAACAAGCAUAAAGAAAUAUCUAAAUUU
This 9117-nucleotide long non-coding RNA is filed under the name Citrus x clementina. RNAcentral's name for it is "Citrus clementina (C. clementina) long non-coding RNA (CCLE_LNC000456)". Lineage: Eukaryota; Viridiplantae; Streptophyta; Magnoliopsida; Sapindales; Rutaceae. The record is from RNAcentral.